GAUGAACGCUGGCGGCGUGCCUAAUACAUGCAAGUCGAGCGAAUGGAUUAAGAGCUUGCUCUUAUGAAGUUAGCGGCGGACGGGUGAGUAACACGUGGGUAACCUGCCCAUAAGACUGGGAUAACUCCGGGAAACCGGGGCUAAUACCGGAUAACAUUUUGAACCGCAUGGUUCGAAAUUGAAAGGCGGCUUCGGCUGGCACUUAUGGAUGGACCCGCGUCGCAUUAGCGAGUUGGUGAGGUAACGGCUCACCAAGGCAACGAUGCGUAGCCGACCUGAGAGGGUGAUCGGCCACACUGGGACUGAGACACGGCCCAGACUCCUACGGGAGGCAGCAGUAGGGAAUCUUCCGCAAUGGACGAAAGUCUGACGGAGCGACGCCGCGUGAGUGAUGAAGGCUUUCGGGUCGUAAAACUCUGUUGUUAGGGAAGAACAAGUGCUAGUUGAAUAAGCUGGCACCUUGACGGUACCUAACCAGAAAGCCACGGCUAACUACGUGCCAGCAGCCGCCGUAA
Molecule: ribosomal RNA, 515 nt
Filed under: uncultured bacterium
Lineage: Bacteria
Description: partial 16S ribosomal RNA
Rfam family: Bacterial small subunit ribosomal RNA
Source: RNAcentral